Molecule: ribosomal RNA, 468 nt
Filed under: uncultured bacterium
Lineage: Bacteria
Description: partial 16S ribosomal RNA
Rfam family: Bacterial small subunit ribosomal RNA
Source: RNAcentral
GACGAACGCUGGCGGCGUGCUUAACACAUGCAAGUCGAACGGAAAGGCCCUGCUUUUGUGGGGUGCUCGAGUGGCGAACGGGUGAGUAACACGUGAGUAACCUGCCCUUGACUUUGGGAUAACUUCAGGAAACUGGGGCUAAUACCGGAUAGGAGCUCCUGCUGCAUGGUGGGGGUUGGAAAGUUUCGGCGGUUGGGGAUGGACUCGCGGCUUAUCAGCUGGUUGGUGGGGUAGUGGCUUACCAAGGCUUUGACGGGUAGCCGGCCUGAGAGGGUGACCGGCCACAUUGGUCCUGAGAUACGGCCCAGACUCCUACGGGAGGCAGCAGUGGGGAAUAUUGCACAAUGGGCGGAAGCCUGAUGCAGCAACGCCGCGUUCGGGAUGACGGCCUUCGGGUUGUAAACCGCUUUCGCCUGUGACGAAGCGUGAGUGACGGUAAUGGGUAAAGAAGCACCGGCUAACUACGUG